AGGAAACUACCGGACAAGCCUCUCAG
This 26-nucleotide non-coding RNA is filed under the name Mus musculus (house mouse). Lineage: Eukaryota; Metazoa; Chordata; Mammalia; Rodentia; Muridae. The record is from RNAcentral.